UUCGCAAUGCCCGAAAGGGUGACGAAGCGACGCCGCGUGCGGGAAGAAGGCCUUCGGGUUGUAAACCGCUGUCGGGAGUUAGGAAGUGCAAGGAUGUUAAUAGCGUUCUUGCUUGACUAAGGCUCCGGAGGAAGCCACGGCUAACUCUGUGCCAGCAGCCGCGGUAUACAGAGGCGGCAAGCGUUGUUCGGAAUUAUUGGGCGUAAAGAGCACGUAGGCGGCUGUGUAAGUCGGUUGUGAAAGCCUUCCGCUUAACGGAAGAACGGCAUCCGAUACUGCAUAGCUUGAGUGCGGGAGGGGAGAGUGGAACUUCUGGUGGAGCGGUGAAAUGCGUAGAUAUCAGAAGGAACACCGGCGGCGAAGGCGACUCUCUGGUCCGUAACUGACGCUGAGUGUGCGAAAGCUAGGGGAGCAAACGGGAUUAGAUACCCCGGUAGUCCUAGCCGUAAACGAUGGGCACUAAGUAGAGGGGUU
Molecule: ribosomal RNA, 474 nt
Filed under: uncultured bacterium
Lineage: Bacteria
Description: bacterial SSU rRNA
Rfam family: Bacterial small subunit ribosomal RNA
Source: RNAcentral